RNAcentral lists this ribosomal RNA (512 nucleotides) under uncultured bacterium. Its description in RNAcentral is "bacterial SSU rRNA". It matches the Rfam family "Bacterial small subunit ribosomal RNA", at positions 791 to 1304 of the family's 1533-position model. The record is from RNAcentral.
UAGUCCACGCCGUAAACGAUGUCAACUAGCCGUUGGGAGCAUAUAAGCUCUGAGUGGCGCGGCUAACGCGAUAAGUUGACCGCCUGGGGAGUACGCCGGCAACGGUAAAACUCAAAGGAAUUGACGGGGACUUACACAAGCAGUGGAGCAUGUGGUUUAAAUCGACAAUACGCGCGAAAUCUUACCUAGGCUAGAAUGCCUUUGACCGUCCUUGAAAGAGGGCUUUCCUUCGGGACAAAGUGCAAGGUGCUGCAUGGUUGUCGUCAGCUCGUGCCGUGAGGUGUUGGGUUAAGUCCCGCAACGAGCGCAACCCCUAUUACUAGUUGCCAGCACUUCGGGUGGGGACUCUAGUAAGACUGCCGGCGUAAGCCGCGAGGAAGGUGGGGACGACGUCAAAUCAUCAUGGCCUUUAUGCCUAGGGCGACACACGUGCUACAAUGGUAGGGACAGAGGGUAGCGAAUCAGUGAUGUGGAGCUAAUCUCAAAAACCCUAUCCCAGUUCGGAUUGGAGU